GUGGGGAAUAUUGGACAAUGGGGGGAACCCUGAUCCAGCCAUGCCGCGUGUGUGAAGAAGGCCUUUUGGUUGUAAAGCACUUUAAGCGAGGAGGAGGCUACCGAGAUUAAUACUCUUGGAUAGUGGACGUUACUCGCAGAAUAAGCACCGGCUAACUCUGUGCCAGCAGCCGCGGUAAUACAGAGGGUGCAAGCGUUAAUCGGAUUUACUGGGCGUAAAGCGCGCGUAGGUGGCCAAUUAAGUCAAAUGUGAAAUCCCCGAGCUUAACUUGGGAAUUGCAUUCGAUACUGGUUGGCUAGAGUAUGGUAGAGGAUGGUAGAAUUCCAGGUGUAGCGGUGAAAUGCGUAGAGAUCUGGAGGAAUACCGAUGGCGAAGGCAGCCAUCUGGCCUAAUACUGACACUGAGGUGCGAAAGCAUGGGGAGCAAACAGGAUUAGAAACCCCAGUAGUCC
RNAcentral lists this ribosomal RNA (451 nucleotides) under uncultured bacterium. Its description in RNAcentral is "partial 16S ribosomal RNA". It matches the Rfam family "Bacterial small subunit ribosomal RNA", at positions 354 to 796 of the family's 1533-position model. The record is from RNAcentral.